AGUGAGUUGAGAUAGGGUGGGAGGAGCAGCUUCCGGGACCCUGCCCCACGGCAGGCUACCCUCUGCCCUGUGUAUCCCAAGUACUUUUUCUGCAUGCCCAGUGUUGCAGAAGCCUUGCCUUGCCAUGGACACCGUGGAAACGAACAGGCUUGCUGAGUGACCGGCAUUUGCACAGCGUUCACAAAUAACACUAAACACCUUGAUUUCCUCAAGACCUUCUGGAGCUUUCUUAGACUGGGUGGGCACCUUAGACAACACCUCUCUGUUGUGGGAUGCACGAUCUCCCCAGGCUCAGGCUGCCCCAGGCGGGGGGGCCACGUGGCUCCUAUCCUCACCCUCACUGCCCAGGCCUCUAGCCUGCCCCCUUCCCCUUCCUACACUCCCCACAGCCAGAUCUCAUCAAGCAACUGCUUCUCCAAGUGCUUGUGACUAAACCCCAAAGAGGCCUGGAAAGAGGAUGUUGGAAACAAGCAUGGGUGCACUUUGCGGGAGGCGAGGCCUGGGAAGCCGGCACACUUCUAUGUGAGCAGAGGCUAUUGGCUAAUCGGCCACUUAACUCUUGACCCGAGCCCCGGGGAAAGUGCAUUCUCCUCUCUUUCAUUUUGUUUAUAGCUUCAUGCAAACUUCCAAUUUCUGUGAACAUUCUGACGAGGAGGGCUCUCGUUUCUCCAGAUCCUGAAAGCAGAGAAUUCUGUCCCCUCUGUGGGACCAGCAGCCUCGUGCGGACCUAUGACUCUGCCCGCAUCGCAGGCAGCACCACAGAAGUGUGUUUGACAGAGAGAACUGUUUUGAAUCAACCCUCUGAGAUGUCGAAAUCAGCCUGUCAGACUUUGCUCACUCUAUCACAUUUCCCAAGAAGAGGAUCAGAGAUAAAGAGAAAUAUGGAAAUUUGGAGUAAAAGGUGAGGAUAGAGAACAAGAAAAAAAAAGUGCCUUCAGAGACUGCAAAAAGGAAUUCAAUAAAAUAUAGGACAAUCUGGUUACUAACUUGAAGUCAGAAAUGUGAAGAAAAUAGUGUAUCAAAACGUUACAGAAAAAUCCAACCACUGUAUCCAAGUGAAUGACACCUUAGAGACAUAAUGAAGAAUUGUACAGGGAAGAAACUUUGUGAGUUACCAAAUAAUUAAAACUUCUUAAAG
Callithrix jacchus (white-tufted-ear marmoset) is the source of this 1138-nucleotide long non-coding RNA. The record is from Ensembl. NCBI's taxonomy places the organism in Eukaryota, Metazoa, Chordata, Mammalia, Primates, Cebidae.